GACGAACGCUGGCGGCGUGCUUAACACAUGCAAGUCGAGCGAUGAAGGCACCUUCGGGUGUGAAUUAGCGGCGAACGGGUGAGGAACACGUGAGAAAUCUGCCUUCAACACUGGGAUAACUCCGGGAAACCGGGGCUAAUACCGGAUACGAGACCUGCAGGCAUCUGCGGGUCUGGAAAGUUUUUCGGUUGAAGAUGAUCUCGCGGCCUAUCAGCUUGUUGGUGAGGUAAUGGCUUACCAAGGCAAUGAUCAGUAGCUGGUCUGAGAGGAUGAUCAGCCACACUGGGACUGAGACACGGCCCAGACUCCUACGGGAGGCAGCAGUGAGGAAUUUUCCGCAAUGGGCGAAAGCCUGACGGAGCAAUGCCGCGUGAAGGAUGAAGGCCUAUGGGUUGUAAACUUCUUUUCUCAGAGAAGAAUUUUGACGGUAUCUGAGGAAUAAGCAUCGGCUAACUCUGUGCCAGCAGCCG
Molecule: ribosomal RNA, 470 nt
Filed under: uncultured bacterium
Lineage: Bacteria
Description: bacterial SSU rRNA
Rfam family: Bacterial small subunit ribosomal RNA
Source: RNAcentral